Molecule: transfer RNA, 73 nt
Filed under: Stegodyphus mimosarum
Lineage: Eukaryota; Metazoa; Arthropoda; Arachnida; Araneae; Eresidae
Rfam family: tRNA
About the family: Transfer RNA (tRNA) molecules are approximately 80 nucleotides in length. Their secondary structure includes four short double-helical elements and three loops (D, anti-codon, and T loops).
Source: Rfam by way of RNAcentral
GCCUUCGUGGUGUAAUGGUUAGUACACUCGGCGCGUAUUCGAGAGACCUGAGGUUAGAGUCCCGGUGACGGUA